UGCGUAGGUGGCGUGGUAAGUCAGAUGUGAAAGCCCGGGGCUCAACCUCGGAAUUGCAUCCGAUACUGCCAUGCUUGAGUACUGGAGGGGUGACUAGAAUUCUCGGUGUAGCAGUGAAAUGCGUAGAUAUCGAGAGGAAUACCAAAGGCGUAGGCAGGUCACUGGACAGUUACUGACACUGAGGCACGAAGGCCAGGGGAGCGAACG
RNAcentral lists this ribosomal RNA (207 nucleotides) under uncultured bacterium. Its description in RNAcentral is "partial 16S ribosomal RNA". It matches the Rfam family "Bacterial small subunit ribosomal RNA", at positions 568 to 774 of the family's 1533-position model. The record is from RNAcentral.